GAUGAACGCUGGCGGCGUGCUUAACACAUGCAAGUCGAACGGACGGAGGGAGCUUGCUCCCAAAGUUAGUGGCGGACGGGUGAGUAACGCGUGGGUAACCUACCCUAUGCAGGGGGAUAACAUUUGGAAACAAAUGCUAAUACCGCAUAACCUAGGAGUUUCGCAUGAAACACUUAGCAAAGAUUUAUCGGCAUAGGAUGGACCCGCGUUGGAUUAGCUAGUUGGUGAGAUAAUAGCCCACCAAGGCAACGAUCCAUAGCCGGCCUGAGAGGGUGAACGGCCACACUGGGACUGAGACACGGCCCAGACUCCUACGGGAGGCAGCAGUGGGGAAUAUUGCACAAUGGGCGCAAGCCUGAUGCAGCGACGCCGCGUGAAGGAUGAAUGUCUUCGGAUUGUAAACUUCUAUCAGCAGGGAAGAAUACCAUGACGGUACCUGACUAAGAAGCCCCGGCUAACUACGUGCCAGCCGCCGCGGUAACAC
RNAcentral lists this ribosomal RNA (484 nucleotides) under uncultured bacterium. Its description in RNAcentral is "bacterial SSU rRNA". It matches the Rfam family "Bacterial small subunit ribosomal RNA", at positions 28 to 526 of the family's 1533-position model. The record is from RNAcentral.